CGGGACGGGUGAGUAAUGUCUGGGAAACUGCCUGAUGGAGGGGGAUAACUACUGGAAACGGUAGCUAAUACCGCAUAACGUCGCAAGACCAAAGAGGGGGACCUUCGGGCCUCUUGCCAUCGGAUGUGCCCAGAUGGGAUUAGCUAGUAGGCGGGGUAACGACUCACCUAGGCGACGAUCCCUAGCUGGUCUGAGAGGAUGACCAGCCACACUGGAACUGAGACACGGUCCAG
This 233-nucleotide ribosomal RNA is filed under the name uncultured bacterium. Its description in RNAcentral is "partial 16S ribosomal RNA". It matches the Rfam family "Bacterial small subunit ribosomal RNA", at positions 100 to 334 of the family's 1533-position model. The record is from RNAcentral.